Molecule: ribosomal RNA, 497 nt
Filed under: uncultured bacterium
Lineage: Bacteria
Description: partial 16S ribosomal RNA
Rfam family: Bacterial small subunit ribosomal RNA
Source: RNAcentral
GAUGAACGCUGGCGGCGUGCCUAAUACAUGCAAGUCGAGCGAACGGACGAGAAGCUUGCUUCUCUGAUGUUAGCGGCGGACGGGUGAGUAACACGUGGAUAACCUACCUAUAAGACUGGGAUAACUUCGGGAAACCGGAGCUAAUACCGGAUAAUAUUUGGAACGGCAGGGUUCAAAAGUGAAAGACGGUCUUGCUGUCCCUUAUAGAUGGAUCGGCGCUGCAUUAGCUAGUUGGUAAGGUAACGGCUUACCAAGGCAACGAUGCAUAGCCGACCUGGGAGGGUGAUCGGCCACACUGGAACUGAGACACGGUCCAGACUCCUACGGGAGGCAGCAGUAGGGAAUCUUCCGCAAUGGGCGAAAGCCUGACGGAGCAACGCCGCGUGAGUGAUGAAGGUCUUCGGAUCGUAAAACUCUGUUAUUAGGGAAGAACAUAUGUGUAAGUAACUGUGCACAUCUUGACGGUACCUAAUCAGAAAGCCACGGCUAACUACGUG